GAUGAACGCUGGCGGCGUGCUUAACACAUACAAGUCGAACGGAAAGGCUCCUGCUUGCAGGGGUACUCGAGUGGCGAACGGGUGAGUAACACGUGGGUGAUCUGCCCUGCACUUCGGGAUAAGCCUGGGAAACUGGGUCUAAUACCGGAUAGGACGAUGGUUUGGAUGCCAUUGUGGAAAGUUUUUCGGUGUGGGAUGAGCUCGCGGCCUAUCAGCUUGUUGGUGGGGUAAUGGCCUACCAAGGCGUCGACGGGUAGCCGGCCUGAGAGGGUGUACGGCCACAUUGGGACUGAGAUACGGCCCAGACUCCUACGGGAGGCAGCAGUGGGGAAUAUUGCACAAUGGGCGCAAGCCUGAUGCAGCGACGCCGCGUGGGGGAUGACGGCCUUCGGGUUGUAAACUCCUUUCGUCAGGGACGAAGCGAAAGUGACGGUACCUGGAUAAGAAGCACCGGCUAACUACGUG
Molecule: ribosomal RNA, 465 nt
Filed under: uncultured bacterium
Lineage: Bacteria
Description: partial 16S ribosomal RNA
Rfam family: Bacterial small subunit ribosomal RNA
Source: RNAcentral